This 491-nucleotide ribosomal RNA is filed under the name uncultured bacterium. Its description in RNAcentral is "partial 16S ribosomal RNA". It matches the Rfam family "Bacterial small subunit ribosomal RNA", at positions 34 to 507 of the family's 1533-position model. The record is from RNAcentral.
CGCUGGCGGCGUGCCUAAUACAUGCACGUCGAGCGAACGGACGAGAAGCUUGCUUCUCUGAUGUUAGCGGCGGACGGGUGAGUAACACGUGGAUAACCUACCUAUAAGACUGGGAUAACUUCGGGAAACCGGAGCUAAUACCGGAUAAUAUUUUGAACCGCAUGGUUCAAAAGUAAAAGACGGUCUUGCUGUCACUUAUAGAUGGAUCCGCGCUGCAUUAGCUAGUUGGUAAGGUAACGGCUUACCAAGGCAACGAUGCAUAGCCGACCUGAGAGGGUGAUCGGCCACACUGGAACUGAGACACGGUCCAGACUCCUACGGGAGGCAGCAGUAGGGAAUCUUCCGCAAUGGGCGAAAGCCUGACGGAGCAACGCCGCGUGAGUGAUGAAGGUCUUCGGAUCGUAAAACUCUGUUAUUAGGGAAGAACAUAUGUGUAAGUAACUGUGCACAUCUUGACGGUACCUAAUCAGAAAGCCACGGCUAACUACGUG